CUCCCUCAUGGGGGGGCAGGUCUGGUCCCGGCAGCCGCGGAAAUUCCAGCACCAAAAGCGUAUAUUAAAGUUGUUGCUGUUAAAAAGCUUGUAGUUGAACCUUGGGUCGGGCUGGCCGGUCCGCCUCACCGCGAGUACUGGUCCGGCUGGACCUUUCCUUCUGGGGAACCUCAUGGCCUUCACGGGCUGUGGGGGGAACCAGGACUUUUACUGUGAAAAAAUUAGAGUGUUCAAAGCAGGCCUUUGCUCGAAUACAUUAGCAUGGAAUAAUAGAAUAGGACGUGCGGUUCUAUUUUGUUGGUUUCUAGGACCGCCGUAAUGAUUAAUAGGGAUAGUCGGGGGCGUCAGUAUUCAGCUGUCAGAGGUGAAAUUCUUGGAUUUGCUGAAGACUAACUACUGCGAAAGCAUUCGCCAAGGAUGUUUUCAUUAAUCAGGGAACGAAAGUUAGGGGAUCGAAGACGAUCAGAUACCGUCGAGUCUUAUAUC
Molecule: ribosomal RNA, 486 nt
Filed under: Penicillium sp. DK/V1
Lineage: Eukaryota; Fungi; Ascomycota; Eurotiomycetes; Eurotiales; Aspergillaceae
Also listed under: 1 other name
Description: SSU rRNA
Rfam family: Eukaryotic small subunit ribosomal RNA
Source: RNAcentral